This 415-nucleotide ribosomal RNA is filed under the name uncultured Rhizobium/Agrobacterium group bacterium. RNAcentral's name for it is "bacterial SSU rRNA". It matches the Rfam family "Bacterial small subunit ribosomal RNA", at positions 358 to 790 of the family's 1533-position model. Lineage: Bacteria; Pseudomonadati; Pseudomonadota; Alphaproteobacteria; Hyphomicrobiales; Rhizobiaceae. The record is from RNAcentral.
GGAAUAUUGGACAAUGGGCGCAAGCCUGAUCCAGCCAUGCCGCGUGUGUGAUGAAGGCCUUAGGGUUGUAAAGCACUUUCACCGGAGAAGAUAAUGACGGUAUCCGGAGAAGAAGCCCCGGCUAACUUCGUGCCAGCAGCCGCGGUAAUACGAAGGGGGCUAGCGUUGUUCGGAAUUACUGGGCGUAAAGCGCACGUAGGCGGAUCGAUCAGUCAGGGGUGAAAUCCCAGAGCUCAACUCUGGAACUGCCUUUGAUACUGUCGGUCUAGAGUAUGGAAGAGGUGAGUGGAAUUCCGAGUGUAGAGGUGAAAUUCGUAGAUAUUCGGAGGAACACCAGUGGCGAAGGCGGCUCACUGGUCCAUUACUGACGCUGAGGUGCGAAAGCGUGGGGAGCAAACAGGAUUAGAUACCCGGG